RNAcentral lists this ribosomal RNA (549 nucleotides) under Ratufa indica elphinstoni. RNAcentral's name for it is "partial 16S ribosomal RNA". It matches the Rfam family "Bacterial large subunit ribosomal RNA", at positions 1820 to 2601 of the family's 2925-position model. Lineage: Eukaryota; Metazoa; Chordata; Mammalia; Rodentia; Sciuridae. The record is from RNAcentral.
UUCCAGCAUAAAAAGUAUUGGAAGCACCGCCUGCCCUGUGACCUAUGUUUAACGGCCGCGGUAUACUGACCGUGCAAAGGUAGCAUAAUCAUUUGUUCCUUAAAUAGGGACUUGUAUGAAUGGCUGAACGAGGGUUCAACUGUCUCUUACUUCCAAUCCGUGAAAUUGACCUCCCUGUGAAAAGGCAGGAAUACCAUAAUAAGACGAGAAGACCCUGUGGAGCUUAAAUUAACUAACCAAAGCAACCAAACCACAACUCAAAAGAGAAUAACAUCUAUGCUCAUUGGUUAACAAUUUUGGUUGGGGUGACCUCGGAGCAUAAAUCAACCUCCGAAUGAUUAUAAUCCAGACGUAACCAGUCUAAAUUAAAUACUCAUUAAUUGACCCAAAAGAUUGAUCAAUGGAACAAGUUACCCCAGGGAUAACAGCGCAAUCCUAUUCUAGAGUCCAUAUCGACAAUAGGGUUUACGACCUCGAUGUUGGAUCAGGACAUCCAAGUGGUGUAACCGCUAUUAAUGGUUCGUUUGUUCAACGAUUAAAGUCCUACGU